Molecule: ribosomal RNA, 514 nt
Filed under: uncultured bacterium
Lineage: Bacteria
Description: partial 16S ribosomal RNA
Rfam family: Bacterial small subunit ribosomal RNA
Source: RNAcentral
UAGGGAAUCUUCCACAAUGGACGCAAGUCUGAUGGAGCAACGCCGCGUGAGUGAAGAAGGUUUUCGGAUCGUAAAGCUCUGUUGUUGGUGAAGAAGGAUAGAGGCAGUAACUGGUCUUUAUUUGACGGUAAUCAACCAGAAAGUCACGGCUAACUACGUGCCAGCAGCCGCGGUAAUACGUAGGUGGCAAGCGUUGUCCGGAUUUAUUGGGCGUAAAGCGAGCGCAGGCGGAAUGAUAAGUCUGAUGUGAGAGCCCACGGCUCAACCGUGGAACUGCAUCGGAAACUGUCAUUCUUGAGUGCAGAAGAGGAGAGUGGAACUCCAUGUGUAGCGGUGGAAUGCGUAGAUAUAUGGAAGAACACCAGUGGCGAAGGCGGCUCUCUGGUCUGCAACUGACGCUGAGGCUCGAAAGCAUGGGUAGCGAACAGGAUUAGAUACCCUGGUAGUCCAUGCCGUAAACGAUGAGCGCUAGGUGUUGGGGACUUUCCGGUCCUCAAGUGCCGCAGCAAACGCA